AGAAAAUGUUAAAUGACUAAUUAUAAAUUUUUGACUUUGCAGUUUAAAUAAUAUUUUAUUUUCUCUCGGGAAAAUGUUUCCCUUUGAAUAGAUUAAAGAGGAAUAAAUGGGUGUUAAUGUCCAUUUGAGAUUGACUAUACAAGUCAUUUCUGCCUUACAAUUUUACUAUGAUCUUUCAUAAAGUUUAUGGUUUUCAUUUAGAUUUCUUUGCUUUAACGGCAAGUGAAAGAGUUAUUUUAUUUAUUUUUUAUCUAUCCUAUUGAGUGGGUGCAGUAAUUACUCGAGCAAGUUAGACAUCAUAAAGUAAACGUUGAUGGCAAUGUUUGCACUGUGAUGGUGACAAUUCUGGUUCUUGAGGUAAUCUUCUCAUAAAAUUUUAGUAAUUGUAAUAGAUAUGUGAAUCACAAUAUUCAUGUAAUAAAAUUUUUUAUUCGGUCACGAGAUUAGUUCUAGAAUGCAGCUAAAGAAUCACUACGUAGCAUUUUCAUAUCACUAUUACUGGAGAGAAGAAUAGUAGGAGUUUUGUUAUAUUUUCAUUUUCAUGCUGUUGACUUUUUUAAGCUAAUAAAAUGGCUCGUUUAUGGAAACUGGGGCAUGAUCAAUGCUAAGGAAUUUAUUCACAUAGAAAAUAUGGUAAGCUUCUGUGCACAUUAUUUAUGUCUUACAUGUUUGUUGUUAAGAUUCUGAUUCAUUAUAUAAGUUAUUUUUUAUUUGUAGCCAUAUGAUAAUCAACAACACAUAGGCUUUUUCAUUCUAGAAAAUGAGUGGGUUUCCAUCUACGAACAAGCUAAAACUGCUGUUGAAUUGAAGUUUAUGCUUGAAAAAACUGCUCAUGCAUCUGUUUUGGCAAAUGGCAAGAAGCCGCUUGAAAUAUUGAUAGUAUCUCACCCUCCAUGCAGGAAGAUAGUCUGAAAAAGGCUAUUGGAAUUGAACUAGAAUUUCCUAAAAAUGUAUUAUUUUGUAAGGUUUUCCUUUUAUUUUUAUGAUGUUAUAAGAUCAUUGUCAUAGUUUCUAAUAUGGUGAACUUAGGUAGAUUGAAAAUUCAUUUGAUGAGAUGAGUGAAAAAUUGGCCGAUGCAAAAGUUACAGCAAAGACUCAAUUGGCUGAGGCUCAAAGUGUGAUGAAAAAUGCUCAAAAGAAGUUCAUGGAGGCAGAGGAAAAUAUGAUGAAGAAUGUGACUAAUGGAUAGAAACUGAGUGUGUUAAUAAUUUUGCUCCUUUAAAGUUCUGUUUUGGAAUAAUGCUGCAAUAAUGUGCUAAAGGUUAUUUCUCAUAAUUUGCUUUGCUUAAGUGCAGGGAGGAAAACUACUUAAAAAGAUGGACUCUAUUGCGAAGGAUAUUGUGCAACUCGUAGCUUUGCAUCGUAUGAAGUGACUUGUCAUGAAAGCAGCAACUAAUAAAUAUUAUUCAAUAUAUAAUGCUUUUUAAAAAAAAAAAUCUUUACAAAGAACUUUAUCAUCUAGAAUAACAGCAGCUUUAUUCUUCAAGAAUGUGUAAUUUGAAUUAAUCCAACUGCAAUAAAAAUUAUUAUUAGUCAUUUCUCAUAGCUAUAGCCCAUAUAAUCAAGGCAAUUCUUCAUUGGUUAUAGCAAAGCCUAAAAUGGCAUAACAAAAAAAGUUUCUCUUGCUUCAAAAAUUAACAACUCAUAUAGUAAGAGAAUGCUUUUUCACAUUCACGAAAAUGUUAAGUUUUGCGAUAUCUUGACCAUUUCUCAACUGGACUUGACCUGUGGUACGCUGUUCAUGAACUCAAAAGAAAAUUCAUUUCGGAUUAAGUGGAGAUUCCCAUUUAUGUACACAUUUAAAAUUUUUUUGUACUUAUUUUUUAUUCGAAUUACUAACUAUAAAAUAUUUGCUACAUGCAGGUCGAACCAUGGAAAGCUUAUCAUUGUGGAUUACAACAUAUGCUUUAUUGAAGGACUAGAUUUAUGCUUUGGCCGAUAUGACACAACUAAACACAAAGUAGGUGAUUUCCCUCCUUUUCUAUAGCCUGGAAAAAACUACUAUAAUCCAAGGUACAUAUUUUUUUUCAUUAAGACGUGUAAGAUCUGUAGGCAACUAUUGAAACUUGGAAUUAAUAACAAAGUUCGAUCAAUUGGAAUAUAUGAAAUAUUUUAUGUCAACAUCUCGAUAGUCAAACUUCAAUUGGUUAAUAGAUUUAAUCACAAUGCUACAUCUAUUUUCAAUUUAGUGAUUCUUGAACCAUAUGUUACAAAUUUCGAUAGUGAAUAUAAAACAUAUCAUAAAUAGAGAAAUCAUAGCAUCGUCCCAUUAAUAGACCUACUAGGUAAGUAACUAAAAGCCAAUAAUAUUAAUCAGUAUUUUUGGUCGAGGCUUGAUUUUCUUCUCAAUAGGUAGAAGAUAUGUAGAG
RNAcentral lists this long non-coding RNA (2369 nucleotides) under Olea europaea subsp. europaea. Lineage: Eukaryota; Viridiplantae; Streptophyta; Magnoliopsida; Lamiales; Oleaceae. The record is from RNAcentral.